RNAcentral lists this ribosomal RNA (768 nucleotides) under Triticum aestivum (bread wheat). RNAcentral's name for it is "partial small subunit ribosomal RNA". Lineage: Eukaryota; Viridiplantae; Streptophyta; Magnoliopsida; Poales; Poaceae. The record is from RNAcentral.
AUGAACACACAGGAGAUCUCUUGUUUGUUGAAGCAAAAGGGCCCAAGUGAACCUGAGUUUGCUUUGGACAAUGGUAAUGAGAGGCAUGAGUAUUUCAUGGAGACAAACCAAGAGCAAGAGCACAUUGAGCAGAUGAUGGAGCAGAAAAGAAAUGAAGAAAUUCAGAGGUACAGGAGUAAUAUGAUACAAAGAGAGAAGUACAAGGCAGCAAAAAGAAAACUCCCACAGCUGCUUGCUGAGGAGUUCACUGAUAGUGAAAGUGAGGAUGAAGAUCUUGAAGAUGAGGACAUAUUGGCUAGGUUGGAGGCAAUGAAGAGGCAUAGGGAUGAUCCACUACAUCACUUUGAAGGAGACACUGAUGUAGAAGAGCUAUAUGGACCAGACGAUGAGGAGGAGAAUGAAGAAAGAGAUGAAGAGGAAGAACAAGAGGAGCCACUAGAUGAGGGCUUGAGAGGAGGAAGCAGUGUAGGAGGAAGCAGUUUAGGAGGUAGCAGCAGCACAGGAGGAAGUAAGAGGAGGGGGAAGGGGCCAACAACAAGAUCCCAUGCAAGUUUGGAUCAAAUCAUAGAGCAAGACUGGGCACCUUCAUCUGAUGAGGAGAGCAACCCAGGUGACUUAAGUCAGGAAGAGAAUGAUUGUGCUCAGCUUCCACCAUUUAAGCUACCAAAUGUAGGAAGAGCAGGGCCAGAAAGAAUAAAGUUAGGGUUUGGUAUGAUGAGGAGAGGGAAAACCCACAAGAACAAUUUGUCAAGCAAAUUUGUUUCCUAG